RNAcentral lists this ribosomal RNA (446 nucleotides) under uncultured bacterium. RNAcentral's name for it is "partial 16S ribosomal RNA". It matches the Rfam family "Bacterial small subunit ribosomal RNA", at positions 338 to 795 of the family's 1533-position model. The record is from RNAcentral.
CCUACGGGUGGCAGCAGUCGAGAAUAAUUCACAAUGGGGGAAACCCUGAUGGUGCGACGCCGCGUGGGGGAAUGAAGGUCUUCGGAUUGUAAACCCCUGUCAUGUGGGAGCAAAUUAAAAAGAUAGUACCACAAGAGGAAGAGACGGCUAACUCUGUGCCAGCAGCCGCGGUAAUACAGCGGUCUCAAGCGUUGUUCGGAAUCACUGGGCGUAAAGCGUGCGUAGGAUGUUUCGUAAGUCGUGUGUGAAAGGCGCGGGCGCAACCCGCGGACGGCACAUGAUACUGGGAGACUAGAGUAAUGGAGGGGGAACCGGAAUUCUCGGUGUAGCAGUGAAAUGCGUAGAUAUCGAGAGGAACACUCGUGGCGAAGGCGGGUUCCUGGACAUUAACUGACGCUGAGGCACGAAGGCCAGGGGAGCGAAAGGGAUUAGAUACCCCUGUAGUC